CCUACGGGAGGCAGCAGUGAGGAAUAUUGGUCAAUGGCCGGGAGGCUGAACCAGCCAAGUCGCGUGAGGGAAGACGACCCUACGGGUUGUAAACCUCUUUUGUCAGGGAGCAAGGUGCAGGUCGGGACCUGCUGUGAGAGUACCUGAAGAACAAGCAUCGGCUAACUCCGUGCCAGCAGCCGCGGUAAUACGGAGGAUGCGAGCGUUAUCCGGAUUUAUUGGGUUUAAAGGGUGCGCAGGCGGAGGCACAAGUCAGCGGUAAAAUCGCGGGGCUCAACCCCGCUCCGCCGUUGAAACUGUGGCCCUUGAGUGCGCGAAGGGUAGGCGGAAUGCGUGGUGUAGCGGUGAAAUGCAUAGAUAUCACGCAGAACUCCGAUCGCGAAGGCAGCCUACCGGCGCGCAACUGACGCUCAUGCACGAAAGCGUGGGUAUCGAACAGGAUUAGAUACCCCAGUAGUC
RNAcentral lists this ribosomal RNA (459 nucleotides) under uncultured bacterium. Its description in RNAcentral is "partial 16S ribosomal RNA". It matches the Rfam family "Bacterial small subunit ribosomal RNA", at positions 338 to 795 of the family's 1533-position model. The record is from RNAcentral.